GACGAACGCUGGCGGCGUGCUUAACACAUGCAAGUCGUACGGUAAGGCCCUUUCGGGGGUACACGAGUGGCGAACGGGUGAGUAACACGUGAGUAACCUGCCCACAACUUUGGGAUAACGCUAGGAAACUGGUGCUAAUACUGGAUAUGUGCUCCUGCUGCAUGGUGGGGGUUGGAAAGCUCCGGCGGUUGUGGAUGGACUCGCGGCCUAUCAGCUUGUUGGUGGGGUAGUGGCCUACCAAGGCGGCGACGGGUAGCCGGCCUGAGAGGGUGAACGGCCACAUUGGGACUGAGAUACGGCCCAGACUCCUACGGGAGGCAGCAGUGGGGAAUAUUGCACAAUGGGCGCAAGCCUGAUGCAGCAACGCCGCGUGCGGGAUGACGGCCUUCGGGUUGUAAACCGCUUUCAGCAGGGACGAAGCUUUUUGUGACGGUACCUGCAGAAGAAGCACCGGCUAACUACGUG
Molecule: ribosomal RNA, 465 nt
Filed under: uncultured bacterium
Lineage: Bacteria
Description: partial 16S ribosomal RNA
Rfam family: Bacterial small subunit ribosomal RNA
Source: RNAcentral